This 515-nucleotide ribosomal RNA is filed under the name Ceratitis anonae. Its description in RNAcentral is "partial 16S ribosomal RNA". The stretch from base 391 to 515 matches the Rfam family "Bacterial large subunit ribosomal RNA", at positions 2473 to 2597 of the family's 2925-position model. Lineage: Eukaryota; Metazoa; Arthropoda; Insecta; Diptera; Tephritidae. The record is from RNAcentral.
GUCUUUUUGAGUUAUUUUUAAAGUCUGACCUGCCCACUGAAUAUUUUUAAAUGGCCGCAGUAUUCUAACUGUGCAAAGGUAGCAUAAUCAUUAGUCUUUUAAUUGAAGGCUGGUAUGAACGGUUGGACGAAGUAUAAGCUGUUUCAUAUAAAAUUAUAUUAGAAUUUUAUAUUUUAGUUAAAAAGCUAAAAUAUUAUUAAAAGACGAGAAGACCCUAUAAAUCUUUAUAUUUAAUAUUAUCCAAAUUUUUUUGAUUAAUUUUAUUUUUAUAAUAUUAAAUAUUUUGUUGGGGUGAUAUUAAAAUUUAACAAACUUUUAAUUUUGAAUUAGAACAUUAAUUUAUGAAUAGUUGAUCCAUUAUUAAUGAUUAUAAGAUUAAGUUACUUUAGGGAUAACAGCGUAAUUUUUUUUGAGAGUUCAUAUCGACAAAAAAGUUUGCGACCUCGAUGUUGGAUUAAGAUAUAUAUUUAGGUGUAGCCGUUUAAAUAUUAAGUCUGUUCGACUUUUAAAUUCUU